CUCUAGCGGAACUGCCGGUGCUAAGCCGGAGGAAGGUGGGGAUGACGUCAAGUCCUCAUGGCCCUUACGGGUAGGGCUACACACGUGCUACAAUGGCGCUGACAGAGGGUUAAUCCCUAAAAGGCGUCUCAGUUCGGAUUGUCUUCUGCAACUCGAAGGCAUGAAGUUGGAAUCGCUAGUAAUCGUGGAUCAGCAUGCCACGGUGAAUACGUUCCCGGGCCUU
Molecule: ribosomal RNA, 223 nt
Filed under: uncultured Rhodobacterales bacterium
Lineage: Bacteria; Pseudomonadati; Pseudomonadota; Alphaproteobacteria; Rhodobacterales
Description: partial 16S ribosomal RNA
Rfam family: Bacterial small subunit ribosomal RNA
Source: RNAcentral